Molecule: ribosomal RNA, 505 nt
Filed under: uncultured bacterium
Lineage: Bacteria
Description: partial 16S ribosomal RNA
Rfam family: Bacterial small subunit ribosomal RNA
Source: RNAcentral
GACGAACGCUGGCGGCGUGCCUAAUACAUGCAAGUAGAACGCACAGUUUAUACCGUAGCUUGCUACACCAUAAACUGUGAGUUGCGAACGGGUGAGUAACGCGUAGGUAACCUGCCUGGUAGCGGGGGAUAACUAUUGGAAACGAUAGCUAAUACCGCAUAAUAUUGAUUAUUGCAUGAUAAUUGAUUGAAAGAUGCUAUUGCAUCACUACCAGAUGGACCUGCGUUGUAUUAGCUAGUAGGUGAGGUAACGGCUCACCUAGGCGACGAUACAUAGCCGACCUGAGAGGGUGAUCGGCCACACUGGGACUGAGACACGGCCCAGACUCCUACGGGAGGCAGCAGUAGGGAACCUUCGGCAAUGGACGAAAGUCUGACCGAGCAACGCCGCGUGAGUGAAGAAGGGUGUCGGAUCGUAAAGCUCUGUUGUAAGAGAAGAACGGGUGUGAGAGUGGAAAGUUCACACUGUGACGGUAUCUUACCAGAAAGGGACGGCUAACUACGUG